Molecule: long non-coding RNA, 2026 nt
Filed under: Homo sapiens (human)
Lineage: Eukaryota; Metazoa; Chordata; Mammalia; Primates; Hominidae
Description: HSALNT0297232
Source: RNAcentral
AUGGAUUCGUGUGUUCUGGACAUAUUAUAUGAAUGGAAUCAUAUAAUAUGUGGCUUUUUGUGUUCACCUUAUUUUACUUAGCAUAAUAUUUUCAAGGUUCAUUUAUAUUGUAGCAUGAAUCAAUACUUCUUUCCUUUUUAUAACAUGUAUUUCCUAUUCUGUCUGGUUGGCUUGCUGCUUAAAAAUCAGAAUACAGAAGAGAAGACAGUCUUGUGGAGGGUCAAAGGAGCCACUGUUUGUAGUUAUUUGGGAUCUUUGAGGAAACCCCUGCUAAAAUAACUUGAUUGGAGAUUUUCCUUAGUCUGGACCAAACCUUCCCAUUAUUGGACACAGAUGGUCAGCUAGUAAUCAAUCAUCUAUAAUUAUGCUUUGGAAAAACCUCAUGAGCAAAGACCCUCGACUUGUAGUCAAAGCUACAAUUUAUGUCAAGCAGCUCCAUUAGAUGUCUCAUUUCCCAGCCAUCAGGAGGAGGAAAGAGGGAAUGAAGAACAAGCUUCUUCCUGUGGGUGUGACCCAGAGGUUGUUCGUGUCACUUCUAUUCACAUUUGCUUGUGUAGAACUUACACAAUCAUACUUAACUUCAAGAAAGAUUGGGCAACAUAGUUUAUAGCGGGGAGGAUUUAUGCCCUGAAAUUGAUGGUGUCAUCUUUUCAUCUUCCCUCUCUCACCAUUAGCAUGUAAUCUGUAACUGAAUUUGAACAAUCCAACUUCCAAAUGAUUUCCAUUUUUCUCCAUAUUCCUAACAACACUUUAGUCUAAAGCGUCCUCAUCCUUGCCUAGUUUACUACAAUAACCUAAUUGGUCAGCGUGCUUCCAUUCUUGCCCCACCAAGUCAUUUCUGACACCGUGGCCGCUAAUUCUUAAGAAUAGAAACCAAAUCAUCACUCUUCUUUAAGGCCUUUAGUGUCUAUUUCCAUAGAAUAAAAUCCAUACCCUGCACCAUGAGCCGUAAGACCUGGCAAUGACCUGGCUCUAGUGUACCCAGUGCUAUCCUUGCACCAUGCUUUCCACCAGUCACUAUGUUCUGGCUUCUCUGGCCUCCACCUUUUUCUAGAACACAUUGAUCCUUUCCCCACCUCAGGCCCUUAUCCCUGCUAUUCUUCAUCCUGUAAAACUUUUGCUGGGAUCUCCGCGUGGCUGGCUCGCCCUCAUCUCUUGGCACUCAGCACAAAUGUCAUCUAUUUUGAGAAUCUUUCCUGACUGCCCUUUGUAAAGCAGCAUGUCUUGUUCCCAGUGACUCUUUAUUGCAUUACUUUAUUUAUUUUCUUCAUAGCAUUUAUUAAAUUAUAUAAUAAUCCUGUUUAUUUGAUUAUUUAAUUUUCUCCUUUCAUUAGAAAAUAAUCCUUAGGAGGGCAGUUUCUUUGGCUUAUCCUGAUUCUCAGACUCUGGCACAUAAAAGGAACUCAACAGAUUGCUAUUGAAUGAGUGAUUAAAUGAGUUAGGUACACUUUAUAUAUUUCUUACAAUAAGAAUCUGGUGCCCACUGUGGGAAAACCAGGUAAAAGGAACCUUACACAGAUUUGCCUCCACUAGCUUUACUUCUGGCUUGGGUGUACUGCAUGUUACACCUAAGCCAUGAAUUUAUCAACCUCGGAUGGUGUUUGAAGUUUUAGUCAUUCUCUGCAGUAGGUUGAAUGGUGGUCCCUAAAAGUUGUGUUCAUGUCCUAAUACCCAGACCUUGUGAAUGUUACUUUAUUUGGAAGGAAAAAGUCUUUGCAGAUGUAAUUAAGAAUCUUGAGAUCAUCCUGAUUAACUGCAUGGGUCCUAAUCCAAUGACAAAUGUCCCUGUAAAGGCAGAGGGAGAUUUGAGCCUUAGAGGAGAAUGUCAUGUGAGGACAGAGGCAGAGAUCAGGGUUUUAUAGUCACAUCCCAGGAAUGCCUGAACCACCAGAAGCUGGAAGAAGCAAGAAAGGAUUCUCCCUUAGCGCCUUCGGAGUGAGCAUAGCCCUGCUGAUGGCUUCAUUUCAGACUUCCGGCUUCCUAAACUUUGAGAGAAUAAAUUUCUAUUGUUUCAAGCACCUGAAUC